This 466-nucleotide ribosomal RNA is filed under the name uncultured bacterium. RNAcentral's name for it is "bacterial SSU rRNA". It matches the Rfam family "Bacterial small subunit ribosomal RNA", at positions 339 to 797 of the family's 1533-position model. The record is from RNAcentral.
CUACGGAAGGCAGCAGUGGGGAAUUUUGGACAAUGGGCGAAAGCCUGAUCCAGCCAUGCCGCGUGCAGGAUGAAGGCCUUCGGGUUGUAAACUGCUUUUGUACGGAACGAAAAGGUCUUUUCUAAUAAAGAAGGCCCAUGACGGUACCGUAAGAAUAAGCACCGGCUAACUACGUGCCAGCAGCCGCGGUAAUACGUAGGGUGCGAGCGUUAAUCGGAAUUACUGGGUGUAAAGCGUGCGCAGGCGGUUAUACAAGACAGAUGUGAAAUCCCCGGGCUCAACCUGGGAACUGCAAUUGUGACUGUAUAGCUAGAGUACGGUAGAGGGGGAUGGAAUUCCGCGUGUAGCAGUGAAAUGCGUAGAUAUGCGGAGGAACACCGAUGGCGAAGGCAAUCCCCUGGACCUGUACUGACGCUCAUGCACGAAAGCGUGGGGAGCAAACAGGAUUAGAAACCCCAGUAGUCCC